This 670-nucleotide ribosomal RNA is filed under the name Nocardiopsis flavescens. RNAcentral's name for it is "bacterial SSU rRNA". It matches the Rfam family "Bacterial small subunit ribosomal RNA", at positions 115 to 785 of the family's 1533-position model. Lineage: Bacteria; Bacillati; Actinomycetota; Actinomycetes; Streptosporangiales; Nocardiopsidaceae. The record is from RNAcentral.
ACGUGAGCAACCUGCCCCUGACUCCGGGAUAAGCGGUGGAAACGCCGUCUAAUACCGGAUACGACCCUCCUCCGCAUGGUGGGGGGUGGAAAGUUUUUUCGGUCGGGGAUGGGCUCGCGGCCUAUCAGCUUGUUGGUGGGGUAACGGCCUACCAAGGCGAUUACGGGUAGCCGGCCUGAGAGGGCGACCGGCCACACUGGGACUGAGACACGGCCCAGACUCCUGCGGGAGGCAGCAGUGGGGAAUAUUGCGCAAUGGGCGAAAGCCUGACGCAGCGACGCCGCGUGGGGGAUGACGGCCUUCGGGUUGUAAACCUCUUUUACCACUCACGCAGGCCCCACGUUUUCGUGGGGUUGACGGUAGGUGGGGAAUAAGGACCGGCUAACUACGUGCCAGCAGCCGCGGUAAUACGUAGGGUCCGAGCGUUGUCCGGAAUUAUUGGGCGUAAAGAGCUCGUAGGCGGCGUGUCGCGUCUGCUGUGAAAGACCGGGGCUUAACCCCGGUUCUGCAGUGGAUACGGGCAUGCUAGAGGUAGGUAGGGGAGACUGGAAUUCCUGGUGUAGCGGUGAAAUGCGCAGAUAUCAGGAGGAACACCGGUGGCGAAGGCGGGUCUCUGGGCCUUACCUGACGCUGAGGAGCGAAAGCAUGGGGAGCGAACAGGAUUAGAUAC